AGACCAUGUGGAGUUCAAACCUUGACACGCUGUUGAAAAACAUUGACGCAGCUGCGGAGAAAGACAAGGAAAAAAAGGAGAAGGAAAAAAAG
This 92-nucleotide non-coding RNA is filed under the name Gymnodinium catenatum. The record is from RNAcentral. Lineage: Eukaryota; Dinophyceae; Gymnodiniales; Gymnodiniaceae.